RNAcentral lists this long non-coding RNA (5035 nucleotides) under Homo sapiens (human). RNAcentral's name for it is "HSALNT0309259". The record is from RNAcentral. Lineage: Eukaryota; Metazoa; Chordata; Mammalia; Primates; Hominidae.
CCUGACCUAAUUAGGCCAGAAGCUCCUCUCAGGUUUAUUCUCCAAAAUAAACCUGUCUUUGACUGUUGAGUUGCUUUUUGUGUUUCUUUCUUCCUUCUUCAACUCUUACAGAAGGGAGUGAAGAAAGGGAGGCCAAGGCAGAGACAGAGAUUCAAGGCAAAUUCAUGUUCUCAGUCUCAGAAGAGAAGAUGCCAGGACACAAGUCAGUAAGGCAAGUAUCAGAUCUUGAACUAUCAAUCCAAGACAAUAUGAGGAGCUCGCAGUGUCAAAUGUUUCAUCAGGAGAUACAGUCUCAUGCAGAAAGUCUGGGCAAGGGUGACUCAAAUUCACUGGGCCAUUUCUGGUUGUCUCAGAGCUUUUUAAAAAGAGCAGGCUAAGCCCAUUGCUAAUUAAGCAGUGGACUCAUAUGCAAAUGUAAUGUGUGACAAAUGUCUUUCAUCUGAGAACUGCAGCAAUAAAGUAAUUAAAGUGGCUGAUUUUUGUAUGCUUAGAUACUGGGAGACCAACCUGCCUGGGGAAUGAAUAUGCUGAUUGUCUUAUGGACCAGUGCCUCUAGAAAUCCCAGAACUAUUUACAUGAUACCUGAUUAAGAGAAUGAACGCAUCAGACUCUUUAAAAUUUAUUUUCUAACGGCAGGUCUAUGCAUCACUUAAUCAACACUGACAUUUUAAGAGCUUGUCAAUAAUCAUAAAGAAGUUGAGUGAAUGCUGAACCUUCAACCAAAGCACUUAGUUUCUCAAACAUUUCCAUCCAGCAGUCAUAAAGUAUGGUCCUGGAGACUGAAAGAUAUGUGUGAGAGAACCCUACAAUUUUCCAAUAUUUUCUUAUUCACCUUAAAACUUAUGUCAAUAUUCCAUAUUCUUCAUAACACAUCCAUUUGAAAGUAUAAAAAUAACAAAAGGCUAUAGGAGUAUAUGCCAUGUUUAUUCUCACUUUACAUACACUAGUCUCAUUUGUGUCUAAAAUCAGGGACAUUUUUAUUUCCAUUUUACACUGAGUCAUUGGCCAUUGCCUAUCCUGCCCAUUGACAAUAAAAUUAUAUGGUUAAUUAUGAGGAAAACUUCAUUGGACUGUAUAUUGAAGGGGAGCCACUAAUUAUUUAUCAGGCUGUUUGGCAUUAAAUAGUAUAUUGUACGUAGUGGAUAAUGUAUAGCUGAGAAUAGGGAUAUGGAUAUAGAUUAGAGGUGCACAUUUUGAACGUGCACUGCCUGGCCAAAUGUUAAAAUAAUUAUUCAGCCAAAGACAAGUGUAUCCAUUUCCUAUUGCUGCUGUAACCAACUAUCAGAACUUAGUGGCUUAAAACUACACAAAACCUUUCUCUUUGUAAAGCUGUGGAGUUCAGGAGUCUGAAAUGGGUCUAACUGGCUAAAAUAAAGAUGUCAGCAGCUCUUUCCAAGACUCUGGGGGAUAAUGUGGUUUUUUUAAUUUUGUUUUGUUUUGUUUUGUUUUUUGCCUUUUCCAAUUUCUGGAGACUGUCUGCAUUCCUUCACCCAAGCUCUUUACUUCCUCUUCAGUUGCCAGUGAAGUUUGCUCAGGUACUAUCACUAUGACACUUUUGCCUCCCUCUUUCCCAUUUAAGGACACUUUUGACUACAUUGAGAUCACCCAAAAAUAAAUCUAAUUUUUCUAUGGUCAGCUGGUUAGCAAACCUAAUUCCAUCUGAAAUCUUAAUCGCCCCUUGCUAUUUAACAUAACACGGUGGUACCCAAACUUUUUGGCACCAGGGACUGGUUUCGCGGAAGACACUUUUUCCACAGAUGGGGAGGGGUUUGGUCUUGGGAUGAAACUGUUCCACCUCAGAUCAUCAUCAGGCAUUAGAUUUUCAUAAGGAAUGUGUAACUAGAUUCUUCGCAUGCGUAGUUCACAAUAGGGUUCAUGCUCCUAUGAGAACCUAACGCUGCCACUGAUCUGACAGGAGGCGGAGCUCAAGUAGUAAUACUCUCUUGCCUGCCACUCACCUCCUGCUGUGCAGCCUGAUCCCUACCCCUGAUGUAAGAUAUUAACAGCUUCUGGCAAUUGGAUGUGGACAUCUUUGGGGAGCCCUUAAUCUGCCUACUAAACUAAAAUUGAAGCUAAUAUCACCAUCAUAACUGAAUUCCUAGGACACUAGACUAAGUCUAUAAUUGUAUUAAAAAAUUCUAUUGAGAUUUAUUGACAGUAAUCUAUUAGUCAAUUUUUUAAAGUUUUUUGUUUUUGUUUUUGUUUUGUUUUUUGAGACAAGGUCUUACUCUGCCACCCAGGCUGGAGUGCAGUGGUACAAUCAUGGCUCAUUGCAGCCUCAAUCUCCUGGGCUCAAGUGAUCCUUCCACCUCAGCCUCCCAGGCAUUAUAGCUGGGAUUUCAGGCACAUGCCAUAAUGCCCAGCUAAUAUUUUAAUUUUUUGUGUGCAGAUAGGGUCUCGCUAUGUUGUCCAGGCUGGUCUCAAAUUCCUGGGCUCAAGUGAUUCUCCCACCUUGACCUCCCAAAGUGUUGGAAUUACAAACAUAGGCAAGAGCCACCACUCCUGGCCUCAAAAGUUUUACAUUACAACACAAAAAUAUUAAUUGCUCUAUAAAAAAAUUAAUAGAUGGCCAGGCGCGGUGACUCACACCUAUAAUCCCAGCACUUUGGGAGGCCAAGGCAGGAAGAUCAUUUGAGGUCAGGAGCUCAAGACCAGCCUGGCCAACGUGGUGAAAUUCUGUCUCUACUAAAAAAAAAAAAAAAAAAAAAAUUAGCCGGGCGUGGUGGAGGGCACCUAUAAACCCAACUACUCAGAAGGUUUAGGCAGGAGAAUUGCUCAAAUUUGGGAGGCAGAGGUUGCAGUGAGCCGAGAUCACACCACUGCACUCCAGCACUCCAGCCUGGGUGACAGAGUAAGACUCCAUCUCAAAAGAAAAACAAAAACAAACAAACAAACAAAAAAACUUGAUAGUUUUCUGAAAAGUAUCCCAUGAGACUUUAGAAGAAUUACUGCCAGAAAUUUUAAAACAGUAAUUAAAAGUUAUUUUGUGAUAUGUAAUGAGCAAAAAAAUCUCUAAAGCUUAGAACUACAAUAUCUCAUUUUGAUUUUUUGCUAUAUAUUUGUAUUAAUUUUCAUAAUUAAUUGUCACAAGCAAGAGUUAAUAUUUUUCAGGAUUGGCAUCACUGGGAAGCUUGAAAGAAAUAACAGAAUCUUAGAGCCAAUCCCCUUGAAUUAGAUCUUAAGUUUUUACAAUAUCCCCAGCCAAUUUGUGAGCAGAGUCUGAGAAGCACUGAUAUAGCAAACAGUCUCUUACUUAAUAUAAACAUUUAUAUUAGCUGUCAAUAUGUUUCCCUGUUUAUUUCAGUGUUUGAAUGGCCUUUACUAAUGUUUUGGUAUAUGAAAUUAACAACUUUCAUAAUCAUAGUUCUAUUUGUUAUAAUAAUAAAUACACAUUUAUACUUCAAAUCAUUGGUAAGAUUUUAAUCUAUAAAGACAGAAGACAUACUGAGUUGCAUCUAGAAUUCACCUAUAUUUGAAAGUGGCUAUUCAGACAUAACCACAGAGCUCAGUGACAUGCCCUGUUUCAUCACUCAGCUGGGCAUGCUGACUGGAUGCGAAGGUAUCCUAAAACAUUUCAUAAUGGUUGAUUAUGCACAAAUGUAACAAUUCUGGGAAUUCCAUUGAAACAGGCAUUUGGUUACUGUGCCGUCCAGAGGCCAAGGAUAAAGCCAAAGCUAACAAGUAGAUUUUAGCCAACCACUCACCGUGGUUGAAACUGAGCCCUGUGUGUUGAGCUCUGUUACGUGUGCAUGUGUGUGGUGGGGUGUACGCGUGCAUGACUGCAUUAGUGGAUUGUAUUGUCUUUUACUAUUGACUUGGAAAGAAAACAAAUCAAAAUAAACAAUAACAAAAGACUAAUCAACAUAACACUCUAGGCACUCUUGGGUUGCUUAGUUUAGAAUGAAUCAAAUUCAGUGGGAAACCGCAAUUGUCUUUAUAGAUUUGAGGAAAGGAAAAAGGAGUGAGAAAUGUCUAUUGAGGCCCUAAGUGGUAAGACUGAGACCUAUGUGAAGAAGUUACAGAGGAAGGAUUUUUAUCCUCAUAAGAUAUAACUUACAACCAUCCAAGAAAGCUGUCCAAAGAUAAAAUGAGCUGCUUGGGGACUUAAUGAAUUGUCUUCUGCCUUAGGUGUUUAGCUUUAGACAGAGUGCUGGCAGAAGGGAUUCAAAUUUCAUUUGGAUGAUUAAUAAUAAUAGCUCAUAUUUGUUGAGCACUCUUAAGAGUGCACUUCCUACAGUGCUAAUGCAACUUACAAUAUUAACUCAUUUGCCCACAACAGCUUCUUAAGGUAGGUGCUACUGUUCUUUAUUUUAAAAAGAGAUAUGAAGAAGUUAAAGGACUUAGUCUAAGCAAUGAGUGGCAGAAAUAGCAUUUGAAUCCAAGUCCCUCAGAUUAUAAAGCUAUAACAUAUUGCAAACGAAGCAGGAUAGAUUUGAGCCCUCAUCUUCCCCUCAACUGGAACAAUUCUUCCUGGUAAUUGGUGUUAAGCAUCUUUUAAGAAUGAUGCUUUACAUUUUGACUUUUUCAAGGCAUUGAAUAUUUCUCAAUGACAAUUUAUGUGUGUGUGUGUAUAUAUACGUGUGUGUGUAUGUGCAUAUAUAUGUAAUGAGAGAGAGAGAGAAAUUGGGAGGUUGUCACUACCUUCUGUACAGUUAUUGACAGGAUCAAACAAGUUAAUAUAAAGCAAUUCAAGAGUGAAUGGUUUAGAAGAAAUUCAGGAAAUGUUUGUUGAAUGAAUGUACAAAUGAAUGAAAUUUCCAUUCUUAUUAGCCUACCAUAUAACAGAGCUUUGAAGCUAAGAAAAACUAUUUCACUCAUUAUUUUUAGCUUAUAUUUCUGAAAUGCCACAGAAACUUGUACCUGCGUAAAGUAAGUAAAGGAGGUGGUAUAAGGUUUUGUGAUCAAUAUGAAAUAGAAUUAGCCAGCAGUUCCCACAGCUCUAAAGUGGUCUACCUGUUAUUCUAAAUUACAAUCACAGUAAUGGUUUCUGUAAAGAAUACAUCAUCUGCUAGGUCUGGUAAAUGCAUUCAUCCUG